UACGGAAGGCAGCAGUGGGGAAUAUUGCACAAUGGGCGCAAGCCUGAUGCAGCCAUGCCGCGUGUAUGAAGAAGGCCUUCGGGUUGUAAAGUACUUUCAGUCGUGAGGAAGGUGUUAAGGUUAAUAACCUUAGCAAUUGACGUUAGCGACAGAAGAAGCACCGGCUAACUCCGUGCCAGCAGCCGCGGUAAUACGGAGGGUGCGAGCGUUAAUCGGAAUUACUGGGCGUAAAGGGCACGCAGGCGGUUAAUUAAGUUGGAUGUGAAAUCCCCGGGCUUAACCUGGGAAUGGCAUUCAAGACUGGUUAGCUAGAGUCUUGUAGAGGGGGUAGAAUUCCAUGUGUAGCGGUGAAAUGCGUAGAGAUGUGGAGGAAUACCGGGUGGCGAAGGCGGCCCCUGGGACAAAGGACUGACGCUCGAUGUGCGAAAGCGUGGGGAGCAAACAGGGAUUAGAUACC
RNAcentral lists this ribosomal RNA (457 nucleotides) under uncultured bacterium. Its description in RNAcentral is "bacterial SSU rRNA". It matches the Rfam family "Bacterial small subunit ribosomal RNA", at positions 340 to 786 of the family's 1533-position model. The record is from RNAcentral.